CCGGUUCUUAUCUGGUUAUCAUGUAGCUUUCUCAUGCUGCCUGGUAAGAGCUGUGA
Molecule: microRNA precursor, 56 nt
Filed under: Mesocestoides corti
Lineage: Eukaryota; Metazoa; Platyhelminthes; Cestoda; Cyclophyllidea; Mesocestoididae
Description: microRNA mco-mir-745 precursor
Gene: mco-mir-745
Source: miRBase by way of RNAcentral